GCCUUUCUGUGGGGAGAGCACAGAGGCAAGAGAGAGGCCUUGGGGGAACGGAGACCCUUCGCUGAGGCCCUGAGGGGUGGACCCCCGGCCCCCGCCGAGGUGAGGAAGACUAUGCGAGAUGGAGGGCAGCUGCCGAGGCGUGCUGGCUGCGCUGGUCGUUCUGGCUGGGCUGGCAGUUGUCCCCACAGCUCCUCUUCGUCCCGGAAGGUUCCCAGAGUCUCGGUGGAAAUGGACUCCAGGUGUCCCAGGCCAGGGUCUCGGAUCAGAGUUGCAGGAGACGGGGAGAUGGAGCAUGCCAACCCCGGGGGUCAUCGGGUAACGAGAGCUUAUACCCCAGCUUUCUUUCGACUAUAUCUUGUCUUGAUUUCAUUGCUUCAUGGAUGUGUUUUCCUAGGAGGUUUUAAAUGCCUGAAGGUGGCCUUACCCCAGGGGUUUUAAUGCAUUGUAUUGACGCAUAACACCCGCGCAGAAAAUACACACGUUAUAAAAGGACAGGUUGAUGAAGUUUUACACGGAGCACCUUUGUGUGUCACCAGGGAGCCCAAGGGCACUUCACAGGUGCUUCAUUCAGCUCCCCCCCGCCCCUGCCCAAAGUGACCAUUGUUCUGACUUCUUGCUGCAUUGCUAGGUGCUGCUUGCUUUGCACUUUAUACAGCUAUGCACUCUACUUCUGAUGGAAAGAU
RNAcentral lists this long non-coding RNA (683 nucleotides) under Sus scrofa (pig). Its description in RNAcentral is "lncRNA (ENSSSCG00030034019.1)". The record is from RNAcentral. Lineage: Eukaryota; Metazoa; Chordata; Mammalia; Artiodactyla; Suidae.